UACAGAGGUGGCAAGCGUUAUUCGGAAUUACUGGGCGUAAAGCGCGCGUAGGUGGUUUGUUAAGUCAGGCGUGAAAUCCUGGGGCUCAACCCCGGAAUUGCGCUUGAUACUGACAGACUCGAGUGUGGUAGAGGAUAGUGGAAUUCCCGGUGUAGCGGUGAAAUGCGUAGAUAUUGGGAGGAACAUCAGUGGCGAAGGCGGCUAUCUGGGCCAACACUGACACUGAGGCACGAAAGCGUGGGGAGCAAACAGG
This 253-nucleotide ribosomal RNA is filed under the name uncultured bacterium. RNAcentral describes it as "partial 16S ribosomal RNA". It matches the Rfam family "Bacterial small subunit ribosomal RNA", at positions 524 to 776 of the family's 1533-position model. The record is from RNAcentral.